This is an RNA transcript of Penaeus indicus, 4097 nucleotides long. RefSeq lists it as uncharacterized. NCBI's taxonomy places the organism in Eukaryota, Metazoa, Arthropoda, Malacostraca, Decapoda, Penaeidae. The record is from RefSeq and is a predicted model, not a curated record. The transcript is spliced from 3 exons.
GUAACGCUUGCCUCGCCGCAGCCUCGUCCCUAAUUUAUACGGCUUUUCGGAGAUGCUGCCGACGGCCAGACGCGGCCGCGCGAGCGUCGCCUCGCGUGGCAACUUCCCUCCGCCCCCGAGCGCUAAACCUCACACUUGCGGAUAACACUGGCCCUUUCCUGCCGACAAAUCUGGGGGCUAGUCCGAUGUCGUGUCUCGCGUGCUGUGGUCUGAAUGAACGUGCGCAUGAGGAGCUGAAUGUAGGCUUAUUUGACCCUCAUCUUGCUCCUACGAGUUAAGGUGAAUCUUAAAGUAGAGCGGCCAUGACAGCUGAUGUACUGUUUGAUCAUUCUAGACUAUCCUUCAGCAGGAGCGUCGCCGUACAGCAUGAGCGGAACACCGGGCCCCAUGAUGUCCCCGCCGCCCGCAGAGGAUUCCAUGGGCUACGGCAUGCCUGGCAUGAACGGUUCAGGAUACUCAGGGGGCAUGGGCUACGACCUCCACCCGGAGUCGCCUGACGUGUAGGCGGCGCCCACACAUCCGCCCACGCCCAGCCCGCCCUCCACCCACACCCAAACAGCAAUAAGACGCGUGGGCGGUUAGCGGGUUGUGGAGUCCGGGCCGGCGUGGUGAGGGUUGCCUGGCGGGCCUUGCCAUCGGUUCCCAGUGUGGUGGAGGCCAUCCCUUGGUGCCAGGCUGCCCUCCCCCGCCCCCUCACUACCUCCCGCGGCCCACCCAUCCUUCACACACAAAGUGCAGGCCGUGUAACUCCGGCCCACCAGCCACGAUCGGGCUGCAUGUGGCUCACUCUGGCCAAGCCACGCUGUGACGUUUUGUGCCACACGGGCUGCAUGUGGCCCACCUCAGGCAACAGUGAUCAGAGCUGUCAGCCCAGUGUGCAGGCAGCGGGCCGCCGCCGUGCGCCCUGCACCUGAGCGGGACCAGCGCGGCCCGCCCAGCCCACAGUAUACGAGAGCCGGGGCGGGUAGCCACCCUUGGCCGCUCCUCACACCACACUGCCGCUGCCUAUGCCCACCUCUCGCCCACGGGUGACGCUCUCAUGACCCAUAGCGCUACGCCAUCUUGACACCCACUCAUCCACAAGGUUGGCCAGCACCACCUGCCCAUGGCCACAGUGUUGUGAGCACACCCACCACUCCUGCACCCACACCUGGACCGCCAUCUCGAGUAAGGGUCCAAGCUUGAUGAGAUUGCCGAAGGAAACAGUGAUGCAUUAAUCUGUCUUUUACGAUAAGUAGCCAUGUAAAUAUGAAUGAAUGAAUAAAGUAAGUUACAGGUAUAAAAGUUCGCGCAUUUUGGGUGUGGAGUGGGUGUGGCACACUCAUGUGGCAUGAGAAGUGAUGCUGAGCAAAGUGGAGGUGGACACUCCCACACCAGGGAGCCCCAGAACCAUGUAUACGGUUGGUAUGUGAUAGUCACACUCGUGUUGCUUAUAUGUGUAGGCUUUUAAUAAAGUUUCUGCUGUUUGAACAUUCUUUAAAAAAUACACACAUGUUCCUCAUUGGCGAGUGAGCCAAAUGUACUUAGCGUCACCCCCGGCGAGGUAGGCUGCAGUAUGACUAGCGGCCCUCCCGCCCCGCGCGGCCAUCAUGGUCCGUAGUGCCCAGCAGGCGGUCCGCGGCGACCCGUACAAGCCUCUGUAUCCAUGUAGCGUAGGAGAGUGUGGCCAGAGAGGCCCGGCUGCCCCCCCGGCCCUGCACACGUUCCACUGGGCGGCCCACCACACCCCGGCGCGGCCACAGGGCCACAACGCCCAGUGGGGCCCCAUCCAACCCAGUAUACGUACUCUGGACGGCAGCAGCACCAAGACUGGAAAAAAGCAAUGGUCAGACCGAACUGGCUCUCAAGAUGUCUGUUUGUUGUUUCAACGCACAUUGGGUGUUUCUGUUGUUUCUGUUUGUGUUCCAUUGUGUUCUGAUGGGUUGUGUAAUUGUGUGUGUGUGCUGGUCCCUGACUGGCCCGAGUACUGUGUCUGCUCUUGUAGAAGUCGUCGGGUGUGGCCCCCAGUCAGCGGGGUUCCUCCGCGAGGCCGGGCUGGCCGCACCCGGUUGGGAGGCGAAUGGUCACAUCUACACUGCAUGUGUGGCCUCUCGAGGCCAGAUGUGUAGCUCCUGUAGAUGUAGCCAUAGGAAAAGAUCGGCGCGGUACCUCCCAGCCCAUUCUCAAAGCAGCACAGAUGGUAGGGCGGCCUCCUUGUGGGGCUGCCCGCUUGAUGCAGGGUAUUACCUAGGAGAAGACGAGACCACACAGAUGAUCUUGUGAUACACUGGAUAAUGAACACUAAAGGACCUGGAACCUUGAAGUAGGUCUAUUUUUAUAUGGAUAGAUAACACUUGAAAAUCGAAUGGGAAAAAGUUAGAUGGUCUUGUGUAACUGUAUAUUAUUAGUAUGGAUAGAAAAAUUCUAAUACUCUUUGAAGUCCGUUUAACAUUUGGUAAUGUUAAGUCCUUUUCCAUACGGUUUGUACGGUAGUGUAAGGGCAGCAACGGGUCCCUGUGGCGCGCUUGUGCCGGCCCGACGGACCCGGGGCUCGCCAAGCGCGCAUGUUUGUAUGGGUAGUGCAGGAGUAGUGCAAGGUAGCUAGACCACAAGUAUACAGUGAUAAUACUGCAGUAUACGAAAAACAAUGUUCUUCAUUGACAAAAGUAUAACUACAAAGAAUAAGCAGAGUAGCCUGCCCUCUUUUCAUGACCUGUUAGCAUUAUUUUGACUCCUGUAGCCAGCUAAAGGGCCGUCAUCUCGUUUCCUGAUUUUUCUGAGCCGCUGAGGUGUACCGUAGUUGUCUCCAUGUAACUUACAGCUCUCUUCUGUCUCUUUUCGCUGUUCGCUGUAGUGAAUGAUGCAAGAAUAAAUCUCCUGUAUUGAAUACUUAUGAAUAACUGUAAAUGUAUUGCUAUGUGUCCUCUCCAAUACCGUCCUGUACCAAAAUACGUAAUUUUCUCACAAUUCUUGUAGAGAUACUGUGUAUUUUUGCUGUGUAUUUGUUCCAGUUUUGUAAUAGUAUAUGUAGUACAAUCUUACUACUGUUUCUCCCCCUUUAGGACGGUAUAGGAUAGACAGCAAGAUUGGUUCAUUCUUACUUACACAUUUAAGCAUAUUUUCCAUGUAACCAGUUAUUGUUUUCAUUGUUUAGCCGCCUUAUUUAUGUAGGAUGGGACAUUUUGAGGUACCCACCUAAUUUCUAAGAUUACAUUUUAUUUCAUUUUUGAGCAAGAGUUGUGUGCUUGUACAGUAGAAUCCAUUGCGGAGGCGAAAGAUAAGUGCUACUUAUGUUUCCAAGCGCGGCAAAGUGGGCAAGUAAAAGUGAGCGCAAGGUACUCCACCCAAGACCCGAACUCCCGUAGGUAAUCAGUUGCCAAUGUCCCUGCUCUCUCAGCUGCAACCCGUUUUCUAUGAGACAGUUUUUUAUUAUUGUUCAUUGCCCAAUUUGUCUCCUGCCUGGAAGCAUUCCAUCCACUCAUUUCACUUAGUUAACUUAACCAUUCUAACCUCUUUGCUACGUGAGUGUGAAGUACAUGUACAUUAUAUUUGUCUUUUGUAUUGUCAUGCAUAUAAGUUGCAUUGUAAGUAUUUUGGCUGAAAAAAGAGCCAGUCCUCACGAUGAUAUUAAUUACCAUGAUGUUUUGUUAGAUUCUGCAGUGAGCUGCGGACCUCUUUGUGUUUAAGGUUUAACUGAAAGCUCAAACUAGAUUAUUUUAGUGUCAGGUACAGGAUAUUCUUGGUUGCAUUUACUAAAAAUGCUGUAGCCGCUACCCGUGACAGUGAGCCAUCCGUUAGAGAGGGUUACGACCUAGUGAUCGCUCAGUGUCACGGUUGCCCGCCAUGGUCCCUCGGUAUACCAGCAGGCCAGUGGUGCAGGGGUAGUGCACGCUGCUCUCGCCUCUUUAGCAAACAAUGUCAAAUUCUUGGUGUAGAACGUAAGGUGUCCUCGGCCGCAUGGUGGCGGCCAGCGUGCGCUACUCCCCUCCCGAGUGGCCGAAGGCAGGGAGGAGCACCACUGGGCCAGAGACGAAGAAGCACUGUUUAUAUGUACUGUAACAUACAAACUUUUACUAUUAGGUAUGAAUGUUAUCAAAUAAAUGAUUUCAAAGGCUAAA